RNAcentral lists this ribosomal RNA (708 nucleotides) under uncultured Methanocalculus sp. Its description in RNAcentral is "bacterial SSU rRNA". It matches the Rfam family "Archaeal small subunit ribosomal RNA", at positions 23 to 739 of the family's 1478-position model. The record is from RNAcentral. Lineage: Archaea; Methanobacteriati; Methanobacteriota; Methanomicrobia; Methanomicrobiales; Methanocalculaceae.
GCUAUUGCUAUCAGGGUUUGACUAAGCCAUGCGAGUCGAGAGGUGUAAGACCUCGGCAUACUGCUCAGUAACACGUGGAUAAUCUGCCCUCAGGUGAGGAAUAAUCCCGGGAAACUGGGGCUAAUGCCUCAUAGGAGACGGGUGCUGGAAUGCUCUGUCUCCCAAAGGUCCGCCGCCUGAGGAUGAGUCUGCGUCCGAUUAGGUUGUUGUUGGGGUAACGGCCCAACAAGCCAUUGAUCGGUACGGGUUGUGGGAGCAAGAGCCCGGAGAUGGAUUCUGAGACAUGAAUCCAGGCCCUACGGGGCGCAGCAGGCGCGAAAACUUUACAAUGCGAGCAAUCGUGAUAAGGAAACCCUGAGUGCCUGUCAAUGCAGGCUGUUCUGGUGUCUAACACGCACCAGGAGAAAGGGCGGGGCAAGACCGGUGCCAGCCGCCGCGGUAAUACCGGCUGCUCGAGUGAUAGCCGCUUUUACUGGGCUUAAAGCGUUCGUAGCUUGGUUGUCAAGUCUCUGGGGAAAUCUUCUGGCUUAACCAGAAGGCGUCUCAGGGAAACUGGCGACCUAGGAACCGGGAGAGGUGAGACGUACUUCGGGGGUAGGAGUGAAAUCUUGUAAUCCCCGAGGGACGACCGAUGGCGAAGGCAUCUCACCAGAACGGCUUCGACAGUGAGGGACGAAAGCUGGGGGAGCAAACCGGAUUAGAUACCCG